AUGUGUGACCUUCCUCUUCACUCUUUUCCCUACAGUGGCUGGAUGCAGAUGAAGAUGAAGCCCUGGGGAUGGGUGUGCUGUGAGUUGAAACGAUCCUGGGCUCUGAGUCAUUGUGUGGAGCAGUCCUACACGCCAACAAAACCACGUGCCUUGGACUGCAAUUUUUAUACAGAAGAAAGUACUGGAAUGCCAGCAAGAUGAUAAUUAUUUUCUGAGAAUGUGAGGAAAGGGAGAAGCCUGAAUGUCAGUGGAAAUCACGUUCUGGUUACUAACAGAGGAAUUUGAUUCUGGCCAUCUUAAUACAAAAUGGGAUUUACUGGAACCCUCUCAUGUGCUUGAAGGAAAAACUGAAAGUCCGUGCUUGAGAACUGAACAGGCAUCAAGGUAGGCUGGACAGUGGUGAGCAGACCAAAGGUCAUGCCAUGGGAAGAUUUUGGUCAGCACAACAUCGUCAUUUCCUCUAGGAAUAAUACAGUCACCAUCUGGUUCCAUCAUCUGAAGUCACUUGCUCAGGAUAUAAAGUCCUAAGAGAGAGCAUUUCGUUUGCUAUGCUUGAGUUAAUUUCUUCAAACAGGCCCACAGAAAUAACUUUAUAACCCAGCAUCCCUUCCAUAGAUGUAGAGUUUUCACCAGUGACUCUGGGAAGGAAGAUUGCAGAAUAAGUUCCUUGGAACUCUGACCAGACAGGAAUCAACAUAUUGUGAUGUUAUAAUGUAAACAUAUUCAUCUAGGAACUUAGCUGGUAUGCAGUGUAAAAGAGGGCUAUGCACGUGUCAAGUUAUUUCAUUUUCUUUGACUUCUGAAGGGGCAUUCCUCUGGCUUAACUUCCUAAUGGAGUACUAUUUAAAUCACUGCGACUGGCUGACUGUUAAUAGUGCUGCACAGGAAGGAACCAGGGACUAAUAUUUUAUUCUAGUGUUAAUUUAAAACCAUCUGAAAACUGACUUCCUCAUAAUGAAUCAGACUUAGCUAGGAGCAUGAUAAAUUUAAUUAUAAUGGACUUCGUGUGGGUAUUGCCAGUCGUUUACAUAUUCAUUGAGUUCCAUGAAGUAGUUUUUCUUACCAUUUUGAGUGUUAAAACCAAAGAAAGGCUAAAUCACAGAAAGGAGAAAUAACAAAUUUGUCUAUAAUUAAAAGGUGAACUGGUCUCGUGAGCAGGUCCCCUAUUUACAUAAACUUCCUGGACUUAGUUCAGUGGGUGCUUCUCUUUAUGAACGUACAUUGUUACUGAAUUAUAAACAACCUGAUUCUCUCUUCUGUGAAAUAUUUGUGGUAUUUUCAGUUGUGUGAAGCCACCCCUAACUGUGUUGAGUAGUAAGAAAGCCCAGGGUUCAGGCCCUGGAGGCCCAAGGUGUUGCUGGCCUUGCUGACGGGUCUCAUUGCUCAGUGGACUAGUGAAGGACCCAGAUUUUCUGCCUCCCCUCUAGGCUUUCUGGUCUACAAUCUAGGUCUUCCCAGGGCUGCUUUCCUGAGGAUGGGGGCUGCUAAGAUGCAGGGGAUUCCUCAUUCAUACCUGGGCAUGAAGAUGACUGUUCCUGGACACUCUCUUAGGAGAAUGAGGAGAAAUUUCAUCUGCAGCCAGUGGCGAAUCUCUUUAUAUCCCGUUGGCCUAAACUAUCAUCUCCACUCUGCAGCCAGUUAUAAACCACACGGAUGAGCUAAAUCUGAUUUGUUCAGAUGACUGGGGGCCAUACCUGAAAUUAGGAAUUGUAUUGAGUUAAUAUUUAAAUAAAAUUUCGAAGCAUAUUGGUGUCUGGAGCAUACCAACUGAGCAAACGGACCUAGGAAGGAGGGAAGGAAAGAAAGUGGAAUCAGCUUCUGAUAAAUUACUCAGGAUGCCUGGGGAGCAUUAUGUCCAAUAAAAUCAGGAUCUAUUAAGGAAGAAAAAUAGAGAAAAAGAUGCAAAGAUGCUGGUAGAUAAAC
Molecule: long non-coding RNA, 1923 nt
Organism: Macaca mulatta (Rhesus monkey)
Lineage: Eukaryota; Metazoa; Chordata; Mammalia; Primates; Cercopithecidae
Source: Ensembl